RNAcentral lists this ribosomal RNA (429 nucleotides) under Bacillota bacterium. RNAcentral describes it as "Firmicutes bacterium partial 16S ribosomal RNA". It matches the Rfam family "Bacterial small subunit ribosomal RNA", at positions 355 to 776 of the family's 1533-position model. Lineage: Bacteria; Bacillati; Bacillota. The record is from RNAcentral.
UAGGGAAUCUUCGGCAAUGGACGGAAGUCUGACCGAGCAACGACGCGUGAGUGAAGAAGGUUUUCGGAUCGUAAAGCUCUGUUGUUAGAGAAGAACGUUGGUAGGAGUGGAAAAUCUACCAAGUGACGGUAACUAACCAGAAAGGGACGGCUAACUACGUGCCAGCAGCCGCGGUAAUACGUAGGUCCCGAGCGUUGUCCGGAUUUAUUGGGCGUAAAGCGAGCGCAGGCGGUUCUUUAAGUCUGAAGUUAAAGGCAGUGGCUUAACCAUUGUACGCUUUGGAAACUGGAGGACUUGAGUGCAGAAGGGGAGAGUGGAAUUCCAUGUGUAACGGUGAAAUGCGUAGAUAUAUGGAGGAACACCGGUGGCGAAAGCGGCUCUCUGGUCUGUAACUGACGCUGAGGCUCGAAAGCGUGGGGAGCAAACAGG